AACGAACGCUGGCGGCAUGCCUAACACAUGCAAGUCGAACGAGACCUGCGGGCCUAGUGGCGCACGGGUGCGUAACGCGUUGGAACCUGCCCUUAGGUCUGCAAUAACUCCCCGAAAGGGGUGCUAAUACCGGAUAAUGUCUUCGGACCAAAGAUUGAGCGCCUUUGGAUGGGCCCGCGUUGGAUUAGCUAGUUGGUAGGGUAAAAGCCUACCAAGGCUACGAUCCAUAGCUGGUUUGAGAGGAUGAUCAGCCACACUGGGAGUGAGACACGGCCCAGACUACUACGGGAGGCAGCAGUGGGGAAUAUUGGAAAAUGGGCGGAAGCCUGAUGCAGCAAUGCCGCGUAAGUGAUGAAGGCCUUAGGGUUGUACAGCUCUUUUACCCGGGAUGAUAAUGACAGUACCGGGAGAAUAAGCACCGGCUAACUCCGUG
RNAcentral lists this ribosomal RNA (433 nucleotides) under uncultured bacterium. Its description in RNAcentral is "partial 16S ribosomal RNA". It matches the Rfam family "Bacterial small subunit ribosomal RNA", at positions 29 to 507 of the family's 1533-position model. The record is from RNAcentral.